RNAcentral lists this long non-coding RNA (974 nucleotides) under Equus caballus (horse). RNAcentral's name for it is "lncRNA (ENSECAG00000056970.1)". The record is from RNAcentral. Lineage: Eukaryota; Metazoa; Chordata; Mammalia; Perissodactyla; Equidae.
AACGCUCACGAAGGGGAUUAGUGCCCUUAUAAAGGAGGACUGAGGCCUCUCACUUGGUGCUUCUACCAUGGGAGGAUACGAGGAGGAAUCUGCGACUCAGACGAAGCCUUCACCUGAGCAUCCUGACACCCUGAUCUCAGAACUAUGAGAAUUGUAGGUCCUUCCAGUUCUUCCACAUGGAAUGCUGCCUCAGCAUGGCUCGAUGAGCAGUGCCAGGUCGACGCCCAGGAUCCAAACUGGAAUAAAGCCCUUUAUCCAGAAGCUGGCAGGAAAAGAAGCCCUGUGUUCUUGGAGAUGACACUGUGGAGUUUCCAUCUUGCUGAGCUGGGAGGUAGAAGAAUGGAGUUGGGUCCCUGCCCACAUAACCAUCCACUGACUUGGAAUGCUCAAUUUGGACUGUUUCAAGGGAAACUGACAUCCAGAGGAUAUCAAGAAGCUGAAGCUUCCCAAACCCCAAUUCCUGGGCUUCCUGGCACCAGAAUCCACCAUCCACCUUGGAGUCUGACAACCAAGGAUACCUGCCUGCUGACUCCCUUAUCUUGCCAUCUUCUCUCUGUAAGCAUCCUCACAAGGCCAAAUGCAGACUGAUGGAAAGGCAGAAACCUCUAAAGCCACAUAUUCCCUCUCCCCUAUGUAAAACCUCAAAUAAAAACCCCUAUCUUUCUUCCUUCAAGGAGAUGAAUUUUUUUAGCUCCCAUCUCCUCAUCUGGCUGCCUUUUGAUAAUGAUAAUCAAAACUCUUUCCUUGCCAUAAACAUGGCAUUACACUUUUAUUUGGCCUCUCUUGUGUGGUAAGGGUAAAAAGAACCUGUGUUUGUGGCCAGAAACAUAAGAACUAUUUGCCAAACCGUUGACUUGAAUAUUUUUCCCUAUUUUUCCCCCAAAUUGGUGUUCUUUUACAUUUUACAUUUUAGUCUGUGAUUUAUUUUGCUAAUUUUCACAUUAGGUAUAAGAUUUUAGUUUGUGUUUUUCCCU